AGUUGUUUGAGUUGCACGAAUCCUGAAUACUGUUCAGAAAAUAGAGAUUGCUGCGUAUCAUAUCAUUGCAUGGAAUUUUCUGGCGAAAAAAAAAGAUGUGCUGCACCCAGUAGAAAAUAAAAAGGAAAAACACAUAAUGAAUCAAAGAAACUUCUAGAAAAAAUAAACAU
Molecule: long non-coding RNA, 170 nt
Organism: Physella acuta
Lineage: Eukaryota; Metazoa; Mollusca; Gastropoda; Physidae
Source: RefSeq, a predicted model, not a curated record